AUGGAUACGAGUAACCAUGAUGAUGGAUAUGAGUCAUGUACUGAUUCUGAGGAGGAGGAGGAGGAGGAGAUGAUGUUUCUUGUCUUCCCGACAAUAUAUUGUAUAUCUUCUAGGAGGGAAAAGAUUCCAGUGAACACAUCCAUUCUUACGGGAGCUAAGUAUAUCCGAGAAAUAUUGGAUGGCCACCCUCAACGGUGCCUUGAUAUUCUUAGGAUGGAAUCCCAUAUCUUCCAACUUCUAUGUGACCAUCUUAGAUCCAAAAAUCUUCUAAAAAAUUCAAAAGGAGUCAGUGUUGAAGAGCAACUAGGGAUGUUUAUGUACAUGCUAUCCAGGAAUGCGAGUUAUCGUACGUUGACUGAUAGGUUUCAGCAGAGUCCUGAAACGGUGCAUAGGCAUAUCAAUGGAUGCUUCAACGCUAUGAGAUCAUUGGCAUUUGACCUUAUCAAGCAUAGUUCGCUAGAUACUCAUUGGAAAAUAUCAACAAAUCCCCAGUUUUGGCCUUUCUUUGAGAACUGCCUAGGGGCAAUAGAUGGGACUCAUGUUCCCAUGACCAUUACAUCCAACGAGGCUGCUCCAUACAGGAAUAGAAAGGGGACCCUCUCCCAAAAUGUGAUGGUCGCCUGCGACUUCGAUCUCAACUUUGUUUAUGUGUCAGCUGGUUGGGAGGGGUCUGCCUCAGAUGCUGGAGUAUUGAAAUCUGCUAUUCAAUCAGGCUUCCAUUUACAUUGUCAUAGGUUCAAUAUGACGCAAAAUAGGGCUAAGUGGACAGCAAGGUAUGAGAAAGGUCUCGUGGAGGUACUUACAGAGUACAAUCUAUCUCAUUACCGUGGCCAAAAUGGGUGGACUACCGAAGGAUGGAAUCAAGUUGUCAAGGAACUGAACAAUUUAUAUCCAGAGGCAAGGUUUACCAAGGAUCAGGUUCAAGAUAAGGAAGCUCAGUUGAAAAAGCACUACAAAAAUAUCAAGUUGAUAGUCAACCGCUCUGGAAUAUCAUGGAAUGAUAUUGCAUGUGUGAUCAACACCACGCCUGAAAAAUGGGAAGAGAUCAUUGCAGAGGACCCAAAGCUCAAAAUGUAUGAAGGAAAGAGCUUUCCAUUGUACAAGGCAUUGGGUGUGCUCUAUGAAGGACACAUUGCGCAAGGAAGACACUGCCUCACAUCAAGGAAGCCUCCGAUUGGCACAAAAACAGGUAGCAACUUUGGAGCGAAGGAUAAGAUGGUUGCAAGCACUAGCAAGAAAAAUACAAGACAUGGAAGAGAUGACAACGUAAGGACUUCUUCAAUAAUUGACAUCAAUGAUACUCCUACAUUAGAUGAUGUGGAUGAAAGAGAGAACACUGUCAAUGACGAGGAAGAAUUAGGCAGUGAAGAUGCUGAUGGCGAUCAACCACAAAUAAGUGAAUCAAGUGCAAAAGGGAAAAAAACUAAGAAACAAAAAGGUGGCACAUCUGUACAGCGGCUUGAAGAUUCCAUGAUGGCUUAUGUGAAUUUCAAGAAAGAUCAAGCUUCCAAGAAGGAAAAAGUGUCACAGCAAGGAAAACAACCCUCAAUUACAGAAUGCUUGCAGGUCUUGAAUGACAUGGAUGAUGUUCCCGACGAGGUCAAAAUCUUUGCCUCUGAUGUUUUCAAGGAUGCAGCAAAUGUGAGAUUUUCCUGGGUUACAACUCAAGAUUGCGGGGAUGUCCUUUCACAUGAUUCUAUGAUUACCCGAGUCCAUGAAGCAAUCAAUAAUAUUCCUGAAAUACUUUAUGUCUAA
This 1755-nucleotide ribosomal RNA is filed under the name Triticum aestivum (bread wheat). RNAcentral describes it as "partial small subunit ribosomal RNA". The record is from RNAcentral. Lineage: Eukaryota; Viridiplantae; Streptophyta; Magnoliopsida; Poales; Poaceae.